Molecule: ribosomal RNA, 497 nt
Filed under: uncultured bacterium
Lineage: Bacteria
Description: partial 16S ribosomal RNA
Rfam family: Bacterial small subunit ribosomal RNA
Source: RNAcentral
GACGAACGCUGGCGGCGUGCCUAAUACAUGCAAGUAGAACGCUGAAGAGAGGAGCUUGCUCUUCUUGGAUGAGUUGCGAACGGGUGAGUAACGCGUAGGUAACCUGCCUUGUAGCGGGGGAUAACUAUUGGAAACGAUAGCUAAUACCGCAUAACAAUGGAUGACACAUGUCAUUUAUUUGAAAGGGGCAAUUGCUCCACUACAAGAUGGACCUGCGUUGUAUUAGCUAGUAGGUGAGGUAAUGGCUCACCUAGGCGACGAUACAUAGCCGACCUGAGAGGGUGAUCGGCCACACUGGGACUGAGACACGGCCCAGACUCCUACGGGAGGCAGCAGUAGGGAAUCUUCGGCAAUGGGGGCAACCCUGACCGAGCAACGCCGCGUGAGUGAAGAAGGGUUUCGGAUCGUAAAGAUCUGUUGUAAGUCAAGAACGGGUGUGAGAGUGGAAAGUUCACACUGUGACGGUAGCUUACCAGAAAGGGACGGCUAACUACGUG